GGGCUAGUGGUGUAGUGGUAACACAUUGCAUCCGGACCUGAAAAGGACUGGUUCGAUCCCAUCCUGGUCCA
RNAcentral lists this transfer RNA (71 nucleotides) under Gongylonema pulchrum. It matches the Rfam family "tRNA". Rfam says of the family: Transfer RNA (tRNA) molecules are approximately 80 nucleotides in length. Their secondary structure includes four short double-helical elements and three loops (D, anti-codon, and T loops). The record is from Rfam by way of RNAcentral. Lineage: Eukaryota; Metazoa; Nematoda; Chromadorea; Rhabditida; Gongylonematidae.